Molecule: ribosomal RNA, 253 nt
Filed under: uncultured bacterium
Lineage: Bacteria
Description: partial 16S ribosomal RNA
Rfam family: Bacterial small subunit ribosomal RNA
Source: RNAcentral
UACGUAGGGGGCAAGCGUUGUCCGGAAUCAUUGGGCGUAAAGAGCGUGUAGGCGGCUCGGUAAGUCCGCUGUGAAAGUCCAGGGCUCAACCCUGGAAUGCCGGUGGAAACUGUCGAGCUAGAGUCCGGAAGAGGCGAGUGGAAUUCCUGGUGUAGCGGUGAAAUGCGCAGAUAUCAGGAGGAACACCGAUGGCGAAGGCAGGUCUCUGGGCUGUAACUGACGCUGAGGAGCGAAAGCGUGGGGAGCGAACAGG